This 84-nucleotide transfer RNA is filed under the name Ailuropoda melanoleuca (giant panda). It matches the Rfam family "tRNA". From Rfam's summary of the family: Transfer RNA (tRNA) molecules are approximately 80 nucleotides in length. Their secondary structure includes four short double-helical elements and three loops (D, anti-codon, and T loops). The record is from Rfam by way of RNAcentral. Lineage: Eukaryota; Metazoa; Chordata; Mammalia; Carnivora; Ursidae.
GCCUGGGUGGCUCAGUUGGUAGAGCAUCUGCCUUCGGCUCAGGUCAAGAUCUCAGGGUUCUGGGAUCAAGCCCCAAAUCGGGCU